Beta vulgaris subsp. vulgaris (sugar beet) is the source of this 1293-nucleotide long non-coding RNA. RefSeq lists it as uncharacterized. The transcript is spliced from 3 exons. Lineage: Eukaryota; Viridiplantae; Streptophyta; Magnoliopsida; Caryophyllales; Amaranthaceae. The record is from RefSeq and is a predicted model, not a curated record.
ACGAGCCCGCUAGUAGAUAUUGUCCUCUCUGGGCCCUAGCCCGCAAGGUUUUGCUUUGGAGUGGGAACGACCCACCCAAAAGGCCUCUACUAGGUUGAGGUAUCCACCUCUAUAUAAAGAAAGCUUUGUUCUCCUCAACUUCCGAUGUGAGAUGGCUUUUACUCCCUUUCCCCACCCCCCUUAAAGGGUGUCUGCGUCCUCGAAGGCACGACAGGACAUCGAAUCGGGCCCUGGCUCUUAUACCAUCUGUAACACCCCUCUGGGGACCACGAGCCCGCUAGUAGAUAUUGUCCUCUCUGGGCCCUAGCCCGCAAGGUUUUGCUUUGGAGUGGGAACAACCCACCCAAAAGGCCUCUACUAGGUUGAGGUAUCCACCUCUAUAUAAAGAAAGCUUUGUUCUCCUCAACUUCCGAUGUGGGAUGGCUUUUACUCCCUUUGUAACACCCCGUAUUUUAUACCCGAUUAAUAAUUAUUUUUGCUGAAAAUAAUUUCAGAUUUCUUUUAUUAAUAAUAUAUUUUUUUACUAACUUUGACUUUACCUUUGAAGUGGUUAAAAAAGAAAAAAAACUGAUUCCUAGAUUUACUAGGUUACUAUCUAAUACUUAUCACUAUAUUAGGAGAGAGAAAGUGAAAAAAAAGAAGAAGAAGAAGAAAAGAACACAAAGCAGAAGAAGUUCUGCAUAUCUUCUCCAACGUGAGCAUCAUUCUUCCUUCCAAAAAAAAAAAUCCCUUAACCUUCAACAUCAUAGAUGUUACUAAAAUCUUCAUCUUCCAUCUUCACACUUCAAGUCUUAUUCAUUCUUCUUCAAUAGCUUCAGUUAUUGUGAGUUUUCAAAGGGGUUAUUAGUGUGCUUUGGUUUGCGAUUUCGGGUCGAGAAUCGAAUCAAAGGACGGUUUUUGGGUUCUUCUUAUAGAGUAAUCUCAUCUUAUUCCUUCCCCUAAUCAAAUUUCGGAUUUAUAGAAGAAUCUUUCUGACUUGAGGUUGAGUUGUUUGACUUUAUUGCUGAUAAGGGACUUGAAGAUAGUUAGCUCCAGUUGGGUUAAAGAGUGCGUUGGAUCCAUUUUGAUUUAAUAGGACUUUAAAAAGACUUCCGCUGUUAUUUAUUUAAAAGAUUUAUGUUCUGGUUUGUAAUAAUUAAUUUUACAUUCUAUUUAGUUGGUCUGUAAUAAUUAGUUAAAACUUAUUGGUUAUUGUUUUAGUUAGAACCAUUAGCCUUGCGGUUAUUAUUAAUAGUUAUCGCGGCGUAUCACCUUUGGAUUUCCGAGUUUAUUUAUAUUAAGUUGAUUUUAGAA